CCUACGGGUGGCAGCAGUCGAGAAUCAUUCACAAUGGGGGAAACCCUGAUGGUGCGACGCCGCGUGGGGGAAUGAAGGUCUUCGGAUUGUAAACCCCUGUCAUGUGGGAGCAAAUUAAAAAGAUAGUACCACAAGAGGAAGAGACGGCUAACUCUGUGCCAGCAGCCGCGGUAAUACAGAGGUCUCAAGCGUUGUUCGGAAUCACUGGGCGUAAAGCGUGCGUAGGCUGUUUCGUAAGUCGUGUGUGAACGGCGCGGGCGCAACCCGCGGACGGCACAUGAUCCUGCGAGACUAGAGUAAUGGAGGGGGAACCGGAAUUCUCGGUGUAGCAGUGAAAUGCGUAGAUAUCGAGAGGAACACUCGUGGCGAAGGCGGGUUCCUGGACAUUAACUGACGCUGAGGCACGAAGGCCAGGGGAGCGAAAGGGAUUAGAUACCCCUGUAGUC
RNAcentral lists this ribosomal RNA (446 nucleotides) under uncultured bacterium. RNAcentral's name for it is "partial 16S ribosomal RNA". It matches the Rfam family "Bacterial small subunit ribosomal RNA", at positions 338 to 795 of the family's 1533-position model. The record is from RNAcentral.